This 310-nucleotide long non-coding RNA is filed under the name Salvia miltiorrhiza (redroot sage). RNAcentral describes it as "long non-coding RNA (SMIL_LNC002866)". Lineage: Eukaryota; Viridiplantae; Streptophyta; Magnoliopsida; Lamiales; Lamiaceae. The record is from RNAcentral.
UGCAAUACAAUAUUACAGAUAUAGAAAUUCCAAGACAAGAAUUAUUGCUUCUGUUUAUACUUCACUUUACAAACCCCUAUUUUUCUAUCUAUCUACCAACAUUAAAAAAAAAAAGGAAUAGUGUAUGUGUGUGAAGAAAAUCUGCAGAUAUCCUUUAAGCAUGCUCAAGCAUGCUCAGCCAUCUAUUGACAUUUUUUCUUUGACUCCAGCUCCACGCCUUUGAAAUAUUCUUCUUUGACUCCAGCUCCAGCAGCAUAUUUGCAAAAUUUUCACACCCGAACACCUUCAUGUGGUUUCAGAUUUCAGCAGC